Long non-coding RNA from Prinia subflava (tawny-flanked prinia), 4255 nucleotides. RefSeq lists it as uncharacterized. The transcript has 3 exons. Lineage: Eukaryota; Metazoa; Chordata; Aves; Passeriformes; Cisticolidae. The record is from RefSeq and is a predicted model, not a curated record.
GUCUGCAGGAAAUUUUCAUUAAAUUGUGUUUUUACAGACAGUUGACAAUGCUGAGAUUUUACUUCUUGCGUUUGAGAAAGCAGUGAUUUGCAAUUUUUUUUCAAUUAAGUAUUAUAUCAAUUGACUUAAUUGUAAAUCUGAAUAUUCUUCCUCUGAAAAACAAGAACAUAUUUAGGAAAUUCUACUUUCUCUUUACGUCAGAAGUUUAUUGUACAUAAAAUUUCAAGGUUGGCAAAAAGAAGACCAGAGAUACCAAAAUUAGGGGAUACUUUGUGAAUGAGGACUUAGCCCUCAACCCAAGAUGAGCUAUGGAUCUCUAGAUUUUUGAGAAGGUUUGUGGUUCAGUUUGAGGUUGGUUUUGGUUUUGUUUGUUUUGUUUGUUUUUCUUUGUUUGUUUAGGUUUUUGGUUUUGCUUUUCGGGUUUUUUGGUUGGUUGGUUAGUUGGAUUUUUGUCUGAAAAAGGAAAAAGGUUGCCAAGUAACACACAUUUUAAAAUAGCAUUAUAAGGGAAGCUUACAUUCUUGACAGUUAUAUUUUGGAUGCUAUAACCACAUGUACUACAAGGAAUUACACUAGAAAGUUGGGAUUGCUCCAUAAAGUGACCAGGAAGCUGAAAGUAGAGCUACUUCAACCACAACUCUGUUUGCCAUAUUUUGUCCCUGUAGCAAAUGCAGCCACCACAAAAACAUACAAAAAGGUAUGAAUUCAGUUAAGGCACUAGAGAAGAGAGCUGAAUAUGAAGAAGGUGGGAGGAUGAAGCGGAAGGGGAAAUAAAAUACAUUCUUUUUGUGCUUCCAUAAUGUGGGACGAUAUGGGAUUUCCUGAAGCACAGUGCCUUGCAGUUGUUUCUCUUCUGCUUUCUAUUGUUUAGAACUGACUGUAGAUAUUCAGUACAUGACUUUUGCCUCUCCCUCCUCUCCCAGUAAAACCAAAUAAACAUGAAAAAAAAGCAAAGCCUCUAGAAUAAACAGCACAAGUAAAUAUGAAAAUUCAGAUUUGGUACAGGUUUAUAAACAUUACUAUUUUGCAUAUUUAGCGCUUGAUCUCAUUCAAGUAAAACAGUUUCAUCAAUAAUACUAGAGAUUGGGAUGUAAGUGUAAUUCUGUUCUAUAGCUGUUAGCUAUAGGUGCAUAUUAUAAGUGCAUGUUGAGGUUUUUAGUUUUGUUUUUUUUUUCUUUAUAAAUUUCUAAUCUGACUUUCCAGAUACCUUGGUAUCCAUCUUGUGAUUGCCAAGUGCAGCUCUGAACCAAAUUCUGUCAUUCAUAUGACUAUUUUCAUGCAGUGCCCUUUGGUUAAGACAGUGCAAACCGCUAUGUUUUUAGCAGAAGCCAUUAGACUGACCUGACCUCUGACACAUCACUGGCUUUCUCCUUGCAAAGGUGAUCCAGCUACAUCUUUGUUGGUGUUAAUUUUUCAUUUACAGUGCUUUUGGUCAAAAUGCCUUGAUGUUGCAUUAAUCUUGAUUAAUGCUAUUUAAAAUAUAUAUACUAAGUUCAACAAUUGUGUAUUAAAAAAGGGUGAUUUCUUCUAUUGUGUGACAUUGGAUAUAUCUCCUUGAAUUAACAGGACUUCAAAAUGGUGCACCACCGCUUGUGUAACAUUAUAUAAAAAAGAAGAAAAAGGAAAAAAAAGUCUUUCUGAUUGUGAGAAUAAAAAUUCAGCUUGAUGAAAAUGCUCUUGCCACAGUCUGAAAUACAAGUUACGCUGGUAUCAGUGUGUGAGGUGUACAACUCUGGUAAGGAAAAGCUUGUAGUCUUUCCUCCCAUCCUCUUUUCCCCAUUUUACUUAUGUUCUCGCAGCAUUUCCUAUGCACUUUUGUUUCAGUUUUGAAAGCAGCAUGCUAUAAAAGCUCACCCCAAUUGAAAAGAUACCUGUAUACAUACAGUGUGAAAGGAAGGCCUUCUCUUCCUGCUAGACCUAAUCUGAUACAUGCUACCAGAAAACCCCAAACCUACAAAGAGUUUCAUCACCUACAAACAGUUAUUAAAAUCAAAAUUUACAAAAAAGUAACAGCAAGUUUUCCUGCAGUAGUCUGGGGAAAACCCAAACCAAGCCAAAAAUCCAAUCUGAAACAAAACUUCAACAACAACAACAAAACUCACUGAAACCAAACAUGCCAGGACACUGGGCUUGAUCAAUUCCCCCUUUGUAGACGGGCUCGUGCAGAUGGGGAAUCUGUAAUUCAAACCUGGACAAGCUGCGACCUCUUUUGGUCAAUUAACAAAGUGAGCACAAAGACAAAAGAAUACUGAAAAGCCUUGGUAGUCAUCAAUCCGGAAGCAAGGCUGAUCUCUCUUCUAAAGCAUCUUUAAUUUCCUGAAGAAAAGUGUCUACUCUUACACCAUAUUAUUCACAAACAAAACCAGAUAAUUUUUAUCUUGCUAUGUACAAUGCUACUUUCAAGAUGCUAUUUGCAAGGUAUAAGUACUGAAUUAAGAACAGAGAAAAUUGAAUAGGUGAUUCUAAUUAUCUAAAAAAAAAUUGACUUGUAAAAAGUGCAGCUUUCAAGAUUAACAGUAUCAUCGCCAGUACUUUGAGCAAUAACAUAUCUACUUCUCUCUUCCACUUGAAUUUUGACACAUUUGAGCAGCUGAUGAGUAGUUGGAAGAUCAGCUUCAUUGUUAAUGAUUAAGGAGUUGAAAGCAGAACAGUAGCCUGGCUCAUCCUUCCCACGGCAGAACAUAUUUGUAUAAGCCAGUAUCUGUGAGCAUUGAUGUUUUUAUUUCUCAUGAGGAGCAAGCUUUUGUGACUGAAACACCAUAUAUUUGUCUAUGUAUACAUCUCACCAUCCUCUUCCUCAUGAGAAUGUAGUAGAGCUUCAGAAAGAAUGUUUACAAAAUUUGGCAUUGCCAAUUCAGGUUUUCUCAAUCAAAGUUAAGCCAAGUUAAUAGGGGGAGCAAAAUAUGCCUAGCGAAAUGGGAAGAGAAUUUGCAGUGGCCUGAAGACAAAUACAUGCAUUGUGCAAAAUCCACAUAGAAUUUUGAUGUUGGGAAUUUGGGGGGAUAGAUUGUUUAUCUUUCUGUCCUAGAUUUGUGAGGACAUUGCAGUGGAAACUGCUUUCUUAUAUAUGGAAGGAAAAGUUUCAAGAGUACAGAGAAUACUUAAAAAAAAAAAAAAAAAGUUAAGGGAGGCACAUCCACGAAGAUGGGGCAAGAUACGGACCGAGUCCCUGUCCAGAGACCUACAUCUUGGCAAACUUGGCUGGGGUGCUUAAGUGUGUGGGUGUGGUCAUGCACAUACAUUUCCCCCCAGACUUCCUUGGAAGCACACCUGUCAUGUGAGCUGUACACGGGUGACAAGGUAAGCUCCGAACCUGCGGGCGGGCGGGCAUGUGCGAGCCCGAGCACGUGAGCACCUUCGCCAGGGCCGGGGCGCUCAGCCCCAAGAUGGACAGGAUUGUAGCUAGGAGUCCAAAAAGGGGCGCUGUUCGCGAGCUUCUCUCGCCGUUCUCGGUGCCAAGGAAACACACACGGUCACGGGGAAGCGCACAUACAUAGAGAGACCACUUUUUCUUGAAACCAGAGACACACGACCCAGUCUCCCGCUACAGCCCUACCCCUCACAGCUGAUUUCUAAAACUGCCCAUAAACCCCCGGCAGUGCUGUGUCCCCCGCCUACUCCGUCUGCACCGCACCGCCCUCAUAGCCCUGCGUGACCGAACCCUGGAUCCGGCGAAGGCUGGCGCUCCCUGCCGCGCCGCGCCGCGCCGCGCGUUAUUCAUGGCGCGGGGCGGGCCGGGCCGGACCGAUGACCGUGGCACUAUAUAGGGUGGACGGACGGCACGGAGGAUAGUCGGAGCCUCUGUUGUUUCCUCAGUGGUCAAGAGUCAGGACUCUGGGACUUCAGUCAGUUCUAGAGAGCCUGAGGCUUGCACAGAGAACUGAAAUCAGGAAUGAUACAAAGGAAGGCAUCAGGAAAUACUUUGCAGACCAAAAGGUUAGUUUUUAUUUACUUAGCAGGGAUAGUUGUUGCUAAAAAGUCCACAGGGUAUCUUCUGGCCUUUUUUGCUUUUGCCUUCUAACUUCUAACUUAGUACUAUUUUGCAAUGCUAAACCAUAUGCACUAAUGUAUUCAACAUGUGUCUGCAACAUAUGUACAUACAUAUCAGAACAAGGGAGAAGAGUCUGAAAACUCCAGGCAGAUGAAGUGAAUGGAUUGCUUUCAUUUUCAUUCUAUUCUUAUAUUAUUAGUUUUAUAAAAUUUUAAUUAUUUCAUUGUAUUAAAGUAAUUACUAACCUGCAUAGUACUCUGUAUA